This 72-nucleotide transfer RNA is filed under the name Streptomyces phage Tomas. RNAcentral's name for it is "tRNA-Glu". It matches the Rfam family "tRNA". Rfam says of the family: Transfer RNA (tRNA) molecules are approximately 80 nucleotides in length. Their secondary structure includes four short double-helical elements and three loops (D, anti-codon, and T loops). The record is from RNAcentral. Lineage: Duplodnaviria; Heunggongvirae; Uroviricota; Caudoviricetes; Stanwilliamsviridae.
GCCCCCAUAGUCUAAGGGUAGGAUACAAGAUUCUCAAUCUUGUGGUCGGAGUUCAACUCUCCGUGGGGGUAC